Molecule: ribosomal RNA, 253 nt
Filed under: uncultured bacterium
Lineage: Bacteria
Description: partial 16S ribosomal RNA
Rfam family: Bacterial small subunit ribosomal RNA
Source: RNAcentral
UACAGAGGUCUCAAGCGUUAAUCGGAAUCACUGGGCUUAAAGGGUGCGUAGGCGGACCGGAACGCGUCCCGUGAAAUCCCCCGGCUCAACCGGGGAACUGCGGGGCGAACGGACGGUCUUGAGGCAUACAUGGGCGGGCGGAACUGUAGGUGGAGCGGUGAAAUGCGUAGAUAUCUACAGGAACGCCGAUGGUGAAGACGGCCCGCUGGGUAUGUCCUGACGCUGAGGCACGAAAGCGUGGGGAGCAAACAGG